GAUGAACGCUGGCGGCGUGCUUAACACAUGCAAGUCGAACGGGAAACCUUUUAUUGAAGCUUCGGCAGAUUUAGCUGGCUUCUAGUGGCGGACGGGUGAGUAACGCGUGGGUAACCUGCGCUAUACAGGGGGAUAACAACCAGAAAUGGUUGCUAAUACCGCAUAAGCGCACAGGGCCGCAUGGUCCGGUGUGAAAAACUCCGGUGGUAUAGGAUGGACCCGCGUUGGAUUAGCCAGUUGGCAGGGUAACGGCCUACCAAAGCGACGAUCCAUAGCCGGCCUGAGAGGCUCAACGGCCACUCCGGGAGUGAGACACGGCCCAGACUCCUACGCGAGGCAGCAGUGGGGAAUAUAGCACAACGGGGUAAACCCUGAUGCAGCGCCGCCGCGUGAAGGAAGAAGUAGCUCGGGAUGUACACUUCUAUAAGCACGGAAGAUAGUGACGGUACCUGACUAAGAAGCACCGGCUAACUACGUG
This 478-nucleotide ribosomal RNA is filed under the name uncultured bacterium. Its description in RNAcentral is "partial 16S ribosomal RNA". It matches the Rfam family "Bacterial small subunit ribosomal RNA", at positions 28 to 507 of the family's 1533-position model. The record is from RNAcentral.